GCCUGGGUGGCUCAGUCGGUUGAGCGUCCGACUUCGGCUCAGGUCACGAUCUCGCGGUCCGUGGGUUCGAGCCCCGCAUCGGGCU
RNAcentral lists this transfer RNA (85 nucleotides) under Felis catus (domestic cat). It matches the Rfam family "tRNA". Rfam says of the family: Transfer RNA (tRNA) molecules are approximately 80 nucleotides in length. Their secondary structure includes four short double-helical elements and three loops (D, anti-codon, and T loops). Lineage: Eukaryota; Metazoa; Chordata; Mammalia; Carnivora; Felidae. RNAcentral also lists the same sequence under 5 other names. The record is from Rfam by way of RNAcentral.